RNAcentral lists this long non-coding RNA (624 nucleotides) under Homo sapiens (human). Its description in RNAcentral is "HSALNT0332772". Lineage: Eukaryota; Metazoa; Chordata; Mammalia; Primates; Hominidae. The record is from RNAcentral.
CCAACCAGUAGCCCUUGGGGCUGCUCUAUGGAGUAGCUUUUGUUUCUCCUGUAAUAAACUUGCAUUCACUUUACUCUGAAUUUGCCUUCAUUCUUGAACAAGAUCCAAGAACCCUCUCUUGGGGUCUGGAUUGGGACCCAUUUCCAGUAACAUCUUCCUGGCAAACCACCAAGGGACAACACUGGAGAAACCCCGACCCAAAAGAAUAGACUGCAGCACUAAUUGGCCAACUUUGCACUACGGAAAUGACAUUAGACAAAAAGCAAAUUUGAGCGAUUUUCGUAUCAAAGUUCGAAAUGGGUCAUAAAGCAGUGGAGACAACUCGCAACAUCCACAAUGCAUUUGGCGCAGGAACUGCUAAUGAACUGACAGUGCAAUGGUGGUUCAAGAAGUUUUGCAAAGGAGACAAGAGCCUUGAAGAUGAGGAGCACGGUGGCCAGCCAUCAGAAGUUGACAACGACCAGUUGAAAGCGAUCGUCAAGGCUGAUCCUCUUACAACUACACGAGAAGUUGCCAAAGAGCUCAACAUCAACCAUUCUGUGGUCAUUCAGCAUUUGAAGCAAAUUGGAAGGGUAAAAAAGCAUGGGCCCAGUUGGAGAAACUGGUUAUUUUACCAAGGCUUUG